Molecule: ribosomal RNA, 369 nt
Filed under: uncultured bacterium
Lineage: Bacteria
Description: bacterial SSU rRNA
Rfam family: Bacterial small subunit ribosomal RNA
Source: RNAcentral
ACGUAGGUGGCGAGCGUUAUCCGGAAUUAUUGGGCGUAAAGAGCGCGCAGGUGGUUGAUUAAGUCUGAUGUGAAAGCCCACGGCUUAACCGUGGAGGGUCAUUGGAAACUGGUCGACUUGAGUGCAGAAGAGGGAAGUGGAAUUCCAUGUGUAGCGGUGAAAUGCGUAGAGAUAUGGAGGAACACCAGUGGCGAAGGCGGCUUCCUGGUCUGUAACUGACACUGAGGCGCGAAAGCGUGGGGAGCAAACAGGAUUAGAUACCCUGGUAGUCCACGCCGUAAACGAUGAGUGCUAAGUGUUGGGGGUCGAACCUCAGUGCUGAAGUUAACGCAUUAAGCACUCCGCCUGGGGGGUACGGUCGCAAGACUG